CCAAAAAAAGGAAUUGGCUUUCUUUACCUGUUCGUGGUGUUCGGUUUAGGGAAGAUCAGUGUUGCUCCUCCUUAUGUUCUCCAUAAGAAGUUAUCCUGUUUGGAUUUUUGUGGAGAUUAAAUGUUGUUUGAACCAAUCUUUAUGCAUCAAAUAAAUUUUAUGGAUUACCGCAGAAAUCAAUGUUGUUUGAACAAAUCUUUAUGCAUCAAAUCAAUUUUAUAAGGGGAGCAAGGAAGUGAUGGCUGCAAGAAUGUUUUUGCAUUUCUCGCUUUGGUUUGAAAUUUAAGUUCAUCUAUAGAAGAUUUGGAAGGAAGUUCAUGAAAAUAACAAUGGUGUUUCUAACUUCUAAGCCACAGAGUAUAAGUGGGAAGACAUAUUUAAGCUAGGCAUUCAUAAUGUCCUAUGUGGAGAAGAAGGUACACGCAUUUUUUAUCGUGCAGACACUGGAACCAAUAAAACGGAUUGGGUCUGCUGGAUCUUUAACUUUUCAUCGUGCAAGUACAGGGUCCAAUAUGGAUUUCUCUACUGGAACUUAUUUCACCACCAUCUUAGAAAUAUGUACGUACAAUGGCCACCGGCGGUCCUAGGAACUUCAGAUGGAAGUGAAUAACUUGGAGGAAUAGGAAAUGGGAACUAAAACUUUGGAGAUAACUCAACUAAGCUACAUCGUUGCUUAGUGAAGAAUUGACUUCUACUACAGUGAGGGUGGUAUUAAUAAUUGCCAUUAAAUUGUAUUUUAGCGCCAUGCACGU
This is a long non-coding RNA of Papaver somniferum (opium poppy), 752 nucleotides long. RefSeq lists it as uncharacterized. NCBI's taxonomy places the organism in Eukaryota, Viridiplantae, Streptophyta, Magnoliopsida, Ranunculales, Papaveraceae. The transcript has 5 exons. The record is from RefSeq and is a predicted model, not a curated record.